Molecule: unclassified non-coding RNA, 255 nt
Filed under: Hevea brasiliensis (rubber tree)
Lineage: Eukaryota; Viridiplantae; Streptophyta; Magnoliopsida; Malpighiales; Euphorbiaceae
Source: RNAcentral
GUAGCAUCUGGUUUGAUUUGUGGCGACGGGAUUUGGACAUUGCCUAGUUCAAUUUUGGCUCUGGCGGGAGUCAAGGCACCGAUUUGUAUGAAGUUCCUUUCAAGGUCAACCAACGUGGAAGUAGAUAAGUUCCUAAGAUCGUAGAUCUGAAAUUUUGACUCUUUGAAUUUAUCUAUUGCUUUGUGCUAUCUAUAAAUACAUUUAUGGGCUAAAUUAUCCACCCUCUUCUUUUGGUUUCUUUAUGUUGUGUUGGUU